GUGCCAGCCGCCGCGGUAAGACGAAGGUGGCGAGCGUUGUUCGGAAUCACUGGGCAUAAAGCGCACGUAGGCGGCGGCGUAAGUUGGGUGUGAAAUCCCUCGGCCUAACCGAGGAACUGCGCCCAGUACUGCGUUGCUUGAGGAUCCAAGGGGUGCAUGGAAUUCCCGGUGGAGCGGUGAAAUGCGUUGAUAUCGGGAGGAACUCCGGCGGCGAAAGCGGUGCACUGGUGGAUUUCUGACGCUGAGGUGCGAAAGCCAGGGGAGCAAACGGGAUUAGAUACCCUCGUAGUCC
RNAcentral lists this ribosomal RNA (292 nucleotides) under uncultured bacterium. Its description in RNAcentral is "partial 16S ribosomal RNA". It matches the Rfam family "Bacterial small subunit ribosomal RNA", at positions 505 to 796 of the family's 1533-position model. The record is from RNAcentral.